This 485-nucleotide ribosomal RNA is filed under the name uncultured eukaryote. RNAcentral's name for it is "partial small subunit ribosomal RNA". It matches the Rfam family "Eukaryotic small subunit ribosomal RNA", at positions 587 to 972 of the family's 1831-position model. The record is from RNAcentral.
AGCUCUGAUAGCGUAUAUUAAAGUUGUUGCAGUUAAAAAGCUCGUAGUUGGAUUUUAGAAUUUUUCGGUAUGGUUGACUAUGAUAAAUAGUAUGUACUAUAUUGAAAAUUCUUUCCUACUGGUUACUCGACUCUGUCCUUUACUGGAUGGAGUAGUAUCGCAAGGUAUCAAUUGGUGUUCUAUUGCUUUUGAUCGUAGUAAUUGGGUAAAACUAAGAAUGAAAAUCAAAGGAUCACAGUAGAAUAUCAAUUGGGGUUCCAGUUCAUUUACUUUGAGUAAAUUAGAGUGUUCAAAGCAGCUUCUUGGAGCAUUGAAUAUAUUAGCAUGGGAUAAUAAAAUAGGAUUUAAAUCUAUUAAUUGGUUUAUAGAUUAAAAUAAUGAUUAAUAGGGAUAGUUGGGGGCACUUGUAUUCAAUAGUCAGAGGUGAAAUUCUAGGAUUUAUUGAAGACAAACUUCAGCGAAAGCAUUUGCCAAGGAUGUUUUCA